Molecule: long non-coding RNA, 1291 nt
Filed under: Numida meleagris (helmeted guineafowl)
Lineage: Eukaryota; Metazoa; Chordata; Aves; Galliformes; Numididae
Description: lncRNA (ENSNMEG00000013494.1)
Source: RNAcentral
GUAAAACAUUAUUCAUUAGAGCAAAAGCAUUUCAGAGAAACUGUUUUGAGGCUGUGAAAGCCAACUCCAUGCCUGUCUGUGCAUCACUGUGGCUGCCCAUUUCCUGAGUGGGGAACGUAGCAUCUUUCUGUAGGUCCCACCACAGCCUGCUUGGUCCAGCAGGCAUAAAGUGUGCACGAGCACAUGCUGUGGAAAGAUCAGGUGCUGAUGAACAAGGAGAUUUCUGCUGAGGAAGUUCACUGUAAAACUGAGUCUACUCUGCACUCAGGAUAUUGGGACUCUGACUCCUGCUGCACUCUCUGGGUGCUGUCGCAACAAUUAACAUAAUAUCUACAAAGUCCCACUGCUCAGCAGAUCAGGUCCCACGUCAUAUCCAUAGGCAUCUUACAGAACAGGAAGAUGGCAAACACACCACUGAGGAGUGUAGUAGCAACUUGAUCAUUGGCACAUUUUCAUAGAAUCAUAACAGUUGGAAAAGACCCCUAAGAUCAUCUAGUCCAGCCAUCAACCUAUUCCCACUAACCAUGUCCCUCAGUGACACACCUACCGUUCAUACACAUCUCCUAAGAACCAAGACAACAAAAAAUGCAUAUGUUUUGUGAGGUUUUCUGAAUUUUCAGAAAGGAGAAAAAAUGUGGGAAAUGUGUAGAACAGUGUUAUUUUCUCCCCCAGACUGCCUUUUCCCACAUCCUGCUCUUUUUAUAGCUGUAGUCUGCUGCUCCCCCUAUUAGCUUCCUAUUGUGGGAUUUUGUGUAAAACCAUCACACUGCUUCAUAUAGCUGUAUUGCUUGCAUGAUAACACCUAAUACAUUUCUUGUGCUAGGACUGCCUCUAAGAUCUGGACUGGAGGGUACAAGAUAAAACCUCACUGAGCAGACGAGGUCUUCAUCCAGAUUAGAGCGAUCUUGCUAAGUGUUCACUGCUUGGUCAGAAGAGAGCCCGUGUCCUACCCCUGGCUGGACACUGAGAGUAGAAUCAAACAAAAUGGCUUUGCAAGCUUUUUGAGAGGGCACAAAACGAUCAUACCGAUUUUUGGAGACUGUUCUUUGCUGAUUGCAAAUGGCAGUAGUGGUGUAAUCAUCCUUCUGUGCAUGUGAAGCCUGUAACAAUUUGUUCAUAAACAGAAGUCUUUUUCCUUUCCCAAGUGUGUGUGCAGCAUUUAUUUGUGUAACCUGGGGACAAUUCUGUCACUACCUGGACUUCUGCCUGUGGUCUGCAAAACAAAAAUGUUUAUAACUUCAGUUCAGAUUAACCAUUAUCCAAAUAAUAAAUCACAGAUGUUACUUCUUCA